CACUGGGUGACUGAAAGUAAGUGUAAGUCUUUUAAACUUAUUAUGGUAGCUAACGACUACCUCCUGUGA
RNAcentral lists this transfer RNA (69 nucleotides) under Metapenaeus intermedius. RNAcentral's name for it is "tRNA-Lys". Lineage: Eukaryota; Metazoa; Arthropoda; Malacostraca; Decapoda; Penaeidae. The record is from RNAcentral.